UACGUAGGGUGCGAGCGUUAAUCGGAAUUACUGGGCGUAAAGCGUGCGCAGGCGGUUUUGUAAGCCAGAUGUGAAAGCCCCGGGCUUAACCUGGGAAUGGCAUUUGGGACUGCAAGGCUUGAGUGCGGCAGAGGAGACUGGAAUUCCUGGUGUAGCAGUGAAAUGCGUAGAUAUCAGGAGGAACACCAGUGGCGAAGGCGACUACCUGGCCUGUUCUUGACGCUGAGGCGCGAAAGCUAGGGGAGCAAACGGG
RNAcentral lists this ribosomal RNA (253 nucleotides) under uncultured bacterium. Its description in RNAcentral is "partial 16S ribosomal RNA". It matches the Rfam family "Bacterial small subunit ribosomal RNA", at positions 524 to 776 of the family's 1533-position model. The record is from RNAcentral.